Molecule: transfer RNA, 74 nt
Organism: Microvirga vignae
Lineage: Bacteria; Pseudomonadati; Pseudomonadota; Alphaproteobacteria; Hyphomicrobiales; Methylobacteriaceae
Rfam family: tRNA
About the family: Transfer RNA (tRNA) molecules are approximately 80 nucleotides in length. Their secondary structure includes four short double-helical elements and three loops (D, anti-codon, and T loops). Further hydrogen bonds mediate the characteristic L-shaped molecular structure. tRNAs have two regions of fundamental functional importance: the anti-codon, which is responsible for specific mRNA codon recognition, and the 3' end, to which the tRNAs corresponding amino acid is attached (by aminoacyl-tRNA synthetases). tRNAs cope with the degeneracy of the genetic code in two manners: having more than one tRNA (with a specific anti-codon) for a particular amino acid; and 'wobble' base-pairing, i.e. permitting non-standard base-pairing at the 3rd anti-codon position.
Source: Rfam
GCAGCCGUAGCUCAGUUGGUUAGAGCACCAGAUUGUGGAUCUGGGGGUCCCCCGUUCGAGCCGGGGCGGCUGUA